This is a non-coding RNA of Coffea arabica (coffee), 938 nucleotides long. NCBI's taxonomy places the organism in Eukaryota, Viridiplantae, Streptophyta, Magnoliopsida, Gentianales, Rubiaceae. The record is from RefSeq and is a predicted model, not a curated record.
GGUUAUGAUGGCAAAGCAUUGUAUAAAGAAAUAGUAUUGACUACACAAGAGUUCAGUGAAGUAUUUUGCAUAGGGAAAGGAGGUUAUGGAAGUGUUUAUAGAGCACAGCUUUCAUCAGGGGAUGUAGUAGCUGUAAAGAGACUUCACAACAUGCCAGAGAUGGCAAGUCAUAGAAGUUUCUUGAAUGAGAUAAGAGCCUUGACAGAAAUCAAGCAUCGAAACAUUGUAAAACUCUUGGGCUUCUGCUCCAAUUCUCAGCACUCAUUUUUGGUUUAUGAGUAUCUUGAAAGAGGGAGUUUGGCCAAAAUCUUGAGCAUAGAAGAAGAAGCUAUUGAACUAGGCUGGCAGAAGAGGUUAAAAAUUAUCAAAGGCAUCGCUCAAGCUUUAUCUUACAUACAUCAUGAUUGUUCACCAGCAAUUGUACAUCGGGACAUAUCAAGCAACAACAUUUUGCUCGAUUCAGAAGACGAAGCUCAUCUGAAUUUCAGAUUUUGGCACUUCUAAGUUUCUGAAAAAAGACUCAUCUAAUUGGAGUUCUCUUGCAGGAACAUGUGGAUAUGUUGCACCAGAAUUUGCCUACACAAUGAAAGUAACUGAAAAGUGUGAUGUUUAUGGCUUUGGGGUCCUGACAAUGGAAGUAAUCAAAGGAAAGCACCCCGGUGACUUGAUUGCUUAUCUAGUGUCUUCAAAGCCCGAGAAAAUAGAACUGAAAGACUUGUUCGAUCAAAGACUUCUGUAUCCCAAUCGAGAAAUUGAAAACAUUCUGGCAUCCGUUCUCAAAGUAGCAAGAGAAUGUCUACAUGUUGAUCCACAAUCUAGGCCAACAAUGCUCUUUAUUUCUAGGUUGUUAUCAACUGGUGCACAAUCUGUGUAACAUAUUGUACAAGACUACGAUGACCAUAUUAAUCAUUUUUCCUAAGUUUUAUGGGUUAAAUAAA